Molecule: ribosomal RNA, 374 nt
Filed under: uncultured organism
Description: partial 16S ribosomal RNA
Rfam family: Bacterial small subunit ribosomal RNA
Source: RNAcentral
GUAGGUGGCAAGCGUUGUCCGGAAUUAUUGGGCGUAAAGCGCGCGCAGGCGGUUCGUUUAAGUCUGAUGUGAAAGCCCACGGGCUCAACCGUGGAGGGUCAUUGGAAACUGGAGAACUUGAGUACAGAAGAGGGAAGCGGAAUUCCACGUGUAGCGGUGAAAUGCGUAGAGAUGUGGAGGAACACCAGUGGCGAAGGCGGCUUUCUGGUCUGUAACUGACGCUGAGGCGCGAAAGCGUGGGGAGCAAACAGGAUUAGAUACCCUGGUAGUCCACGCCGUAAACGAUGAGUGCUAAGUGUUAGGGGGUUUCCGCCCCUUAGUGCUGCAGCUAACGCAUUAAGCACUCCGCCUGGGGAGUACGGCCGCAAAGGCUG